Molecule: ribosomal RNA, 347 nt
Filed under: uncultured bacterium
Lineage: Bacteria
Description: partial 16S ribosomal RNA
Rfam family: Bacterial small subunit ribosomal RNA
Source: RNAcentral
CCUACGGGGGGCAGCAGUGAGGAAUAUUGGUCAAUGGCCGGGAGGCUGAACCAGCCAAGUCGCGUGAGGGAAGACGGCCCUACGGGUUGUAAACCUCUUUUGUCAGGGAGCAAGGUGCAGGGCGGGACCGGCUGUGAGAGUACCUGAAGAAAAAGCAUCGGCUAACUCCGUGCCAGCAGCCGCGGUAAUACGGAGGAUGCGAGCGUUAUCCGGAUGUAUUGGGGUUCAAGGGUGCGCAGGCGGAGGCACAAGUCAGCGGUAAAAGCGCGGGGCUCAACCCCGCGCCGCCGUUGAAACUGUGUCCCUUGAGUGCGCGACGGGUAGGCGUACUGCGUGGUGUAGCGGUG